UACGGGGGGAGCUAGCGUUGUUCGGAAUUACUGGGCGUAAAGAGUACGUAGGCGGUGAUUGAAGGCAGGGGGGGAAGCCUGGAGGUCAACUCCAGAACUGCCUUUGAAACUAGAUCGCUAGAAUUAUGGAGAGGUUAGUGGAAUUCCGAGUGUAGAGGUGAAAUUCGUAGAUAUUCGGAAGAACACCAGUGGCGAAGGCGACUAACUGGACAUAUAUUGACGCUGAGGUACGAAAGCGUGGGGAGCAAACAGG
RNAcentral lists this ribosomal RNA (253 nucleotides) under uncultured bacterium. RNAcentral's name for it is "partial 16S ribosomal RNA". It matches the Rfam family "Bacterial small subunit ribosomal RNA", at positions 524 to 776 of the family's 1533-position model. The record is from RNAcentral.